GACGUAUGCCAUCCGCCGCCUGUUGGUCUUUCACAGUUGGUGACGAGUGUUGUGAAAAUGGCCUCGACCCUGCCCGUGAGCACGAAUAACCGGAGAAGAUGACGACGUUGAGCUUCUUAAGUCGGUUGAACACCAAAGUGUCCUCCUUGAACACGUAGAUAACAGAGACGUGAACAAAAAACAAGAGACUCUCGGAGGAGAAACGCCUAAAAAAUACCACAGAGGACCGCAAAAAAUUCCGCUGGCUGGCUGAGGAGCCACUAUGGAGGAUAUCAACUCUAAUAUCAACGCCGACUUGGAGGUGCGGAAGCUCCAGGACUUGGUGAAGAAACUCGAACAGCAGAACGAGCAGCUCCGGAGCAGGUCUACGAUGUUGUCCUCGUCCGGGGCCAUGUCAGGGAAUCACAGACCCCUCAGCGCCGGAUACGACUCGUCGUCCCUGUCAGCGGGGAUGGCAGCCGGUCUGGCCGGCUUCCCUGGGGUGGGGUUCGUCGGUACGGGCGGCUACAGUGGGCUGCUGGAGAACAACCGCUGCUUGAGCCCCAGACUGUCGUACGACGGCAUCAGCUUCAGGAGGGCGUAUGAAUGUGAGGGAGCUUCCGCUGCCACCAGUAUGAACUCACUUUAUUCAGACACCACCGGGGGCUUCAUGGACGAAGCAGAAACCUCAAUCCUGGAUGAAGUGGAAAUCUUAGACCUCGAAGACAUGGAUUGUCUACACGAAGACGAGGACAGCUGGUUGUAUGAGGCAAAACUCAAUAGUCCCCUGCAAAAAUCCUUGAGUCCUGUUGUGUGGUGUCGCCAAGCUCUGGACAACCCCAGUCCUGAGAUGGAAUCAGCCAAGCGCUCCCUCAUCCACAGACUGGACCUCACCAUGUCAGCCAACAAGCGCAGGAGCCUGUAUGGAAGUCCGUACAACCAGCAGGGUUAUGGAAGCCCGUAUAGCACAAAUGCAGCCAACAGCCCCUACAGCAGUGGCUUCAACUCCCCCUCCUCAACCCCCAGCAGAGUGCCCAUAGUCAGACAGCAGUUAUUGCCCAGUAACGCAGUACACCAGCGAAACGCAGCAGCAGACAGGAAUCCUCCGGCUAUCAGUCCACAGUCCUCAGUGGACAGCGAGCUCAGUACGUCAGAAAUGGAUGAGGACUCAGUGGGCUCCUCGACUACCUACAAACUCAAUGAUGUCACUGAUGUCCAGAUACUGGCACGCAUGCAGGAAGAGAGUUUGAGACAAGACUACGCUGCGACGGCAUCCAGACGGAGCUCGGGUUCGUCCUGCCACUCACUGCGGCGCAGCACCUUCAGCGACCAGGAGUUAGACGCACACAGUCUGGAGGACGAGGAGGAGGCGGUGCAUCCGGCCUUCCACCUGCCCUCCAACCGCUUCAGCCCCUCCCCUCGCCACUCUCCCCGUGCCUCCCCCAGGAACUCUCCUCGCUCGCGCUCCCCAGCUCGGUCCAUCGACUACAGCCACAGCCGCGGCUCACCUCAGCCCAUCAUCAGCCGCCUGCAGCAGCCUCGCCACUCGCUGCAGGGCCAUGGGCAUGACAUGCAGACCAACGUGGUGAAGAAUGAGGAAAAGCUGCGUCGUAGUCUUCCCAACCUCACGCGCUCCUCAGCGGCGUCUGCAGUUCAGGCAGCAGAACCCGUCAAGAACAGCCGCAGCUGCGAGUCCAACCUGCAAGUGCCAAACGGAGGCUCUCCUCGACACCAGAACCAGUCUGCGACAGCAGCUCAGCUCUCGAGAUACUCGCCCCCCUCUCGCUCCUCCCCGAAACCCAAACAGCACCUCCAACGCCCAACUGCCCUGCGAGGUAACAGCCUGCUCCUCAACCAGCCGGGGGCUGUGAGGGUGAUCUUCCACAGACAUAUGCACAAUUUAUGACGUACUAACGUCACCUUCCGGUGUACUGACGGUAUAUGGACUACUGAUGAGAGUAAAUGAUAAAUUGGCUAUAUUUAUGGACUUGAAGUGGAUGUGAGGAAAGUGUAUUAAUGCAUUCGUUGCCAGCUUGUCCUUUGAAGCUCUGAGACUGAGGAGUAACUCUGAGUGCAGUUUCAGCAUCUGUUUUUGUUGCUUUCUUGGCGAGAAAAAAGGACGUUGGUAGGUGAAGCAUGGUGCUUAUAGUAACUGCCACAGGUGUGCCACCACUAAAGAAGGAUUUAACAUUCACAAUUGAAUGUGAAUGUUGACUAAUGAAAGGAUUAUGUUCAGCUGUUUCUGCACACAAACACAUCAGUUCUACCACAGGCUCAGUAAUAAGCUUAUACAUUCAUUACUGUCUUCAUUACGUACAAUGUUAAGUUUUACUGUCAACUUUAGUCAGUUGAAUUAUUUAUUGUGUUUUGUACAGACUACAUUGUCAUUGCAGAUAUUCUUUGACUUUUUAAUAAAAAUUCUAUUUUAUAUUUUUACAAAAAUCAGCGUUACCAGUGGAGUCUGUGAUUCUGGAGGACAUGUACUGCCAUUUAGAGAGUUAGCAUAGAUAGUUAGCAUGCACCUGAUUUAACAUCUCUUUUCUUCCCACAAUGAUAAUCAUCUGCAUUUUUCUGAUCAAACCUGGCACCUCGUUUACCCACAAUGCAUCUCAGCUGCUUGGGUGUGUUGUGCUGUUACAGGCUAAUGUAGCCUUGAGUCUUUUGCCUAAAGCAGAUAUAAGGAGGGGCUACAGAGCUGUAGUAUUUUCAUUGAUUUCUAACUGCAUUUUCAGAUUGUAGUCUUUAAAGUGACUGAAACUGAGGUUAUCAAACUUUCUACAGCUCCCUCUGGAGACACUAGGCUCUAACCAACCCUUUUACAUACCAUAUAGAAUAAUGCUUACCAACAAUGGAGACACAAACUCUCUUCAGGCAUCAGAUAUGUAGCAUUCCUGCAUCACCAAUCUGCUAAAGUGACAGCAUUCUGUCAUUCAGACACUGAUCAGUUUUAAGUUCAUGUUCCUCACGGCUUCAUUUAGGAAUGUCAGCCACAGUGGCUGAGAGUCAUAAUGUGCGUGCAAAACACUAAACUAACUGCACGCUUAUGAAUCUGUCCAAAAACUAAGAGCUCAGUUUAUUUAUGAUAUCCUGAACACUUAAGUUUUUAUUUACAACUUGUGAUAGUGUAACCACUACUUUACCAACAGUGAAAUAAAAAUAUCCUUCCAGCUGUGAUGGAACUCAGGAUUUAGCCUGAACAAAUGAGCUGAUUGUAACUUACAAACUGUGACUUGGAAGAAAAGUCUACAGUGUGAUUUGCCGUUUGAUCUCGACCAAUCCUGACUCCAUGUCAGGGAUAAUUGAUAAUUGUUAGUAAUUAAUGAAGUUGCAUGUGUUGUUCCAUGUGCGUAAAUAAACACAACUCUCACUUUGGAGAUGCUCAUAUAGAGGUAUUUAAGAAACUCAGAGGAAAGAUUCCUACAAACAGCCGGAAGCAACAAACUAAACUUUAAUUUCUGUUAAAGUUUUGUAAAACCUACUCUAUCAUGUGAUAAAACGUGACUGCUAGGGACAUUUCUUUGCUUCACACAAUGUGGAGAAAGUUGCUUGUGCAUACCUAUGUGCUAAUGUGACUACAUGUAGUUCAGACUUGUGCAGUGUUGAAAAUGAUGCAUAAAAGUUGUUAGGUAAAAGCCUGUACCAUUGCCGUGGUAACUUUAAUGGAGAAGUGACCAGCGUGUUUAUUCAGACAAAAAGCCGACACGUUCAGAUGUCGUCAGAUUACCAGAAAGGAGAGCAUGCCUGAAAGAGUUUGAUGAGAUCUCCUUUAACUUUUCAUACGAUAUGGACCAAGGCUACAUUACAGCACACAACCUACUCCCUCACCCCCCAUCACUGCUCACAGCUACAAUUUCUACUCAGGCUAGUUGACGGUAAAGCAUACCUUUUUCCAUGGCAUAUAGGUUUGUUGCUUCUGUUGGUCGAGAGCCAUGUAAGUUUGUUCAGAAAACAAACGGGCAGAAAGAGACACCGCAUUAAACCCCACCCUCGGCACCUUCCUCCCUGCUCUGAAUUAAGGCUUGUCUCUGUUGUCUUCGUCUUUGUCUAGUCCCACUCUCCUGUUGCUUUGGAGAAGAAGGUGAUUUCAUCCCAUCUCCCAGUAAGCUGCGAACGCCUGCCCCGUCCCCGCUGGCCUUGAGGCAGCCUGUAAAGGCCACAUCCACCCCUAAUUCU
This is an RNA transcript of Acanthochromis polyacanthus (spiny chromis), 4152 nucleotides long. It is a transcript of the gene named SLAIN motif family, member 2, with no coding region annotated. The record is from RefSeq and is a predicted model, not a curated record. NCBI's taxonomy places the organism in Eukaryota, Metazoa, Chordata, Actinopteri, Pomacentridae. The transcript is spliced from 8 exons.